This 119-nucleotide small nucleolar RNA is filed under the name Nannospalax galili (Upper Galilee mountains blind mole rat). RNAcentral's name for it is "Small nucleolar RNA SNORA40 (ENSNGAG00000001906.1)". It matches the Rfam family "Small nucleolar RNA SNORA40". From Rfam's summary of the family: The snoRNA ACA 40 belongs to the H/ACA family of snoRNAs and guides the pseudouridylation of 28S rRNA subunit at position U4565. NB This family has a high threshold value to exclude a large number of closely related sequences that do not appear to have conserved H and ACA boxes, and may be pseudogenes. The record is from Rfam by way of RNAcentral. Lineage: Eukaryota; Metazoa; Chordata; Mammalia; Rodentia; Spalacidae.
UCAUUGUGUUUGUUCGAUUGGUGGACAAAAGCGUGAAAGACAGGUGCAAAAAUAAAACCUCUUUUGCACCCCGAACUCAUUCUUCAGUAUAAGUUUUGGUAUAUACAAGAAGGAAUAUG